RNAcentral lists this long non-coding RNA (685 nucleotides) under Cyanoderma ruficeps (rufous-capped babbler). RNAcentral describes it as "lncRNA (ENSCRFG00000014417.1)". Lineage: Eukaryota; Metazoa; Chordata; Aves; Passeriformes; Timaliidae. The record is from RNAcentral.
GUUAAUUACCCAAUAAGCCUCGCCCCUGAUGAGACACAGCUGUAGCCAAUAAAGAUAAAUGUGAUAAAAGGGAGUGGGUGAGCUGGUGAGGGGGGAUUUAUGAAGGAGGAGGAACCUUGAGGAAGAGGGAAUGAGAGAAUCACGAAAGAAGAAGGAUCUUGAGGAGAGAGAAUCCCUGCAGUGAGAACCUGAAGAUGGGGGCUCUGUCUUGGUUCCACAACCCCUUGCAAACUGGGCUACCUGGUAGAACUGGGCCAUCCACAGCCUGACAUGGAGAAAUAAAAAAGCAGACAUGGCAGCUUGAGCUAGUUUUAAUUCAUCUUUAAGCAGAACUUAAUUACAAAUACUGAAUCUAAAGGCUCAGCAGGAGAUCAGACAAAGCUCAUGGAACAGAGGUUUCUGGAGUUCCCAGGACAUGUAUCCAGCUCAGGACAUGUAUUCCCAGGACAUGUAUCCAGCCCAGGAAGUCUCUGAGCUGCCAGUGCCUUCCAGCUGGAGGGUAACAGUCCCCAUUCUCCCCUGGACCCACUGCUGGCAGCAGUCACAGCAGGAUAAAGGUUCUGUGCCUCUUUGGGCAGAGCAGUGGCACCACUGGUUUUGCAAUACCUUCAGGCCAUAUGGGUGAUGGCUUUCAAGUUGUGCCACUCAGUAACUUGAGAAUGCUGGGAUGAGGAAUCCUGUUCCA